UACGGGAGGCAGCAGUGGGGAAUAUUGCACAAUGGGCGCAAGCCUGAUGCAGCCAUGCCGCGUGUAUGAAGAAGGCCUUCGGGUUGUAAAGUACUUUUCAGUCGUGAGGAAGGUGUUAAGGUUAAUAACCUUAGCAAUUGACGUUAGCGACAGAAGAAGCACCGGCUAACUCCGUGCCAGCAGCCGCGGUAAUACGGAGGGUGCGAGCGUUAAUCGGAAUUACUGGGCGUAAAGGGCACGCAGGCGGUUAAUAAGUUGGAUGUGAAAUCCCCGGGCUUAACCUGGGAAUGGCAUUCAAGACUGGUUAGCUAGAGUCUUGUAGAGGGGGUAGAAUUCCAUGUGUAGCGGUGAAAUGCGUAGAGAUGUGGAGGAAUACCGGUGGCGAAGGCGGCCCCUGGACAAAGGCUGACGCUCAUGUGCGAAAGCGUGGGGAGCAAAC
This 439-nucleotide ribosomal RNA is filed under the name uncultured bacterium. RNAcentral's name for it is "bacterial SSU rRNA". It matches the Rfam family "Bacterial small subunit ribosomal RNA", at positions 340 to 773 of the family's 1533-position model. The record is from RNAcentral.